This 459-nucleotide ribosomal RNA is filed under the name uncultured bacterium. RNAcentral describes it as "partial 16S ribosomal RNA". It matches the Rfam family "Bacterial small subunit ribosomal RNA", at positions 338 to 795 of the family's 1533-position model. The record is from RNAcentral.
CCUACGGGAGGCAGCAGUGAGGAAUAUUGGUCAAUGGGCGGGAGACUGAACCAGCCAAGUCGCGUGAGGGAAGAAGGUCCAGUGGAUUGUGACCCUCUUUUGUCAGGGAGCAAAGAACGGCACGCGUGGCGUGCCGAGAGUACCCGAAGAAAAAGCAUCGGCUACCUCCGUGCCAGCAGCCGCGGUAAUACGGAGGAUGCGAGCGUUAUCCGGAUUUAUUGGGUUUAAAGGGUGCGCAGGCGGAAGGUCAAGUCAGCGGUAAAACAGAGGGGCUCAACCUCUUCGCGCCGUUGAAACUGGUAGUCUUGAGUGAGUGAGAAGUAUGCGGAAUGCGUGGUGUAGCGGUGAAAUGCAUAGAUAUCACGAAGAACUCCGAUUGCGAAGGCAGUACACUGGACUGCAACUGACACUGAGGCUCGAAAGUGUGGGUAUCAAACAGGAUUAGAUACCCCAGUAGUC